Molecule: ribosomal RNA, 498 nt
Filed under: uncultured bacterium
Lineage: Bacteria
Description: partial 16S ribosomal RNA
Rfam family: Bacterial small subunit ribosomal RNA
Source: RNAcentral
AUUGAACGCUGGCGGCAUGCCUUACACAUGCAAGUCGAACGGUAACAGGUCUUCGGAUGCUGACGAGUGGCGAACGGGUGAGUAAUACAUCGGAACGUACCCGAUCGUGGGGGAUAACGAAGCGAAAGCUUUGCUAAUACCGCAUAAGAUCUACGGAUGAAAGCAGGGGACCGCAAGGCCUUGCGCGAACGGAGCGGCCGAUGGCAGAUUAGGUAGUUGGUGGGAUAAAAGCUUACCAAGCCGACGAUCUGUAGCUGGUCUGAGAGGACGACCAGCCACACUGGGACUGAGACACGGCCCAGACUCCUACGGGAGGCAGCAGUGGGGAAUUUUGGACAAUGGGCGAAAGCCUGAUCCAGCCAUGCCGCGUGCAGGAUGAAGGCCUUCGGGUUGUAAACUGCUUUUGUACGGAACGAAAAGACUCUUUCUAAUAAAGAGGGUCCAUGACGGUACCGUAAGAAUAAGCACCGGCUAACUACGUGCCAGCAGCCGCUGUAA